UUAUACCCAACACCAGUCCUCCCACUUUCGAGUUUGGGUUCCGAAUGAAGGAAGUACAGAAAAACUUUCACAAAUGAAGUUGCCUUCCUCGAUUUUCGUACUCGAUUGUUUCCAGAUAUUUUAGCGUUUGAUACGCUGGUGCUGGAGUCUUUUCAAAUCGAGGCGAUCUGAAAAGAUUUUUUCAAAAUUCUCGCUGGAUAGUUGCUUUAGGUAUGGUGCAAUAAUGACUGCAAUGGUCUGGGUAGUGGAGGAGCUCAAAACCUCCUCCGAGAU
This 273-nucleotide long non-coding RNA is filed under the name Elaeis guineensis (African oil palm). RNAcentral's name for it is "long non-coding RNA (EGUI_LNC067978)". The record is from RNAcentral. Lineage: Eukaryota; Viridiplantae; Streptophyta; Magnoliopsida; Arecales; Arecaceae.